Molecule: ribosomal RNA, 497 nt
Filed under: uncultured bacterium
Lineage: Bacteria
Description: partial 16S ribosomal RNA
Rfam family: Bacterial small subunit ribosomal RNA
Source: RNAcentral
GAUGAACGCUGGCGGCGUGCCUAAUACAUGCAAGUCGAGCGAACAGACGAGGAGCUUUCUCCCCUGCCGUUAGCGGCGGACGGGUGAGUAACACGUGGAUAACCUUCCUCUAAGACUUGGAUAACUUCGGGAAACCGGAGCCAAUACUGGAUCAUAUAUUGAACCGCAUGGUUCAAUAGUGCAUGACGGUUUUGCUGUCACUUUUAGAUGGAUCCGCGCCGCAUUAGCUAGUUGGUAAGGUAACGGCUUACCAAGGCAACGAUGCGUAGCCGACCUGAGAGGAUGAUCGGCCACACUGGAACUGAGACACGGUCCAGACUCCUACGGGAGGCAGCAGUAGGGAAUCUUCCGCAAUGGGCGAAAGCCUGACGGAGCAACGCCGCGUGGGUGAUGAAGGUCUUCGGAUCGUAAAACUCUGUUAUUAGGGAAGAACAAAUGUGUAAGUAACUAUGCACGUCUUGACGGUACCUAAUCAGAAAGCCACGGCUAACUACGUG